Molecule: long non-coding RNA, 225 nt
Filed under: Carica papaya (papaya)
Lineage: Eukaryota; Viridiplantae; Streptophyta; Magnoliopsida; Brassicales; Caricaceae
Description: long non-coding RNA (CPAP_LNC013106)
Source: RNAcentral
UUACAUAGGCAAACAAGACAAUUAAUCACAAGCUGUGACAAGACGACUGGUCAUAAGCUGUGACAAGAUGAUCGGUCAUAAGUUGUUGUGGGUGCAUAGGCAUGCGAGCAAGUUAUCGCGCACGCACAGGCAUGCGUGCUCUAUCACAUCACAGACAUGACAACCUUGCAUGCGCAGCUAGCAUAUAGGCAAAUUUACCGAUUAAUAUUUAGAAUUUAGAAUUUC